AAAAAAAAAAAAAAAUGCCAUAGGUACUUAAUCAGUUUUCAUGUGCCGGGCAGGAAAACAGGCUCAGAGAGGUGAGAUGACUUGCUCAGGACACAUGUAAUUGUUAUGGAAUCCCUUGAUGUGACUCAGUAGUCUAUUUUGCUUGCCCCCUUCUCAAGGCACUGAUUGGAGGGGCCUUAGGGAGGAGGGUAAGCUAGUCAGGGAGGAUCUUGGCCUAAGAAGGAAGGGGAGGGGAUGCCAGUCAACAGCACAAGGAGUGGACAAAGCUGAGAGUGUUGCUAGGAGGGAGUGGUGGUGAUGCCAUAUCUUCAAAAAUCAAGCAAAGAGUGCUGUGGAGGCUCACAGGAAGCUGGGACCUACUGCAGGGGUCUCCAGAGAUGUCCAGUUCCCUUGACCCUUACACUGAGAAACCUGGGUGAUCGCCAGAUGACGACUUGGGGCAGGGACUUUAUUCCUCACCCAAACCUGAGCACCAAGAGCAUUUGAAUCUCAGGUCAAGACAGGAUGCAAACAGUUAAUUCCAAAGGGGGAAAAAAAAUCUUUUGACAAAGAAUUACAAAGAGUAACCCAGAAAGUUUUCCUAAGAGGCAAUUCAGAGGAGUCUGAGUCUCAGCUAGCUUAUGGGACUGAAACAGGAACAGAACAUUCAUGGAAAAAAUCACAAUAAAGGGCAGGAGGAAGUUCUUUUUCCAAAAGAGAGGUUUGGGCAAAUGACUUGCUCUCUCCUCAAAGCCAGUGUAGAAAGACCAGGAAUGCCACAAAUUAGAGGAAAAAAAAUGUCUCUUUGUACAAAGUUUAUUACUUGUCAGAGGGAUAGGCCAGCAUAAAGAGCCACUAGAUGAAGGACACAUGGCCAAGGCUUUCUAUGGAAGCCAGGCCUGAGUGGAUAGGAGACAGGUCCUGGUGGAUCAAAGCUCCUUAGAUAUCAUGUGUGUGGAAAAUCUUUCAGCAAAAAUUCACACCUUGCUCAAUAUCAGAAAACUCACCCUCAAGAGAAGAUCUGUGAUAUAUCCAAUGUGGAUGAAUAUCACAACUCAAUCCAGUGGAGAGAAAUCCUAUAUGUGUAAUGAAUGUGCCAUUUGUGAUUUCAAGAGGCAUCAAAGUUUGUGAAACAUCAGAGAAUUCACACUGGAGAAAAACCCUGCAGCUGUACUACAUAUGGAAAAGCCUUUAAUGGGAAUUCAACCCUUAUUAAACAUUAGUUGAUACACACUGAAGAGAAGCCCUACAAAUGUAAUGAGUGCAUGAAAGCAUUUAAUCAGAAAGCAAAUCUCAUCAAGCAUCAGAGAAUUCAUACAGGAGAAAAGCCCUUUGCAUGCCGAGAAUGUGGGAAAAGCUUCAGUCAGCCAUCACACCUAUCUCAAUCUCAAAGAAUGGAUCCUGGGAGAAGCCGCACAACGGUGAGGAGUAUCGUAAAGGCUUUCGUCAAACAGCACACCUGGUUGAUCAUCAAAGAAUACACACAAGAGAAGCCCUCUGUUUGCAUCAUGUGUGGGAGGGGCUCUGUUUAGAUGUCACACUUGAUUCACCACCACAGAACACAUUUAGGAGAAAAGACCCAUGAGUGUCAUCCAUGUGAGAAGCACUGAAGCCAGUGUUCACCCCUUAUUAGACGUUAGUUACCCACACAAUGGAGAGUGCAUACCACUCUGAAUGUGCCAGGCUUUCAGCGUGAGCUGGUCUCCCUGGCGUUGUCUCACACAUCCCUUGUAGAGGAAACUUUUCAUUUGUGUAAGAGAAAGCACCUAAAAAUUCAAAGAAGGCAGAAUGACUUUUUUGCUCUAGCUCACUAUGCAAUAUCAGAGAUCUUGAAAGAGAGGACCUAGUGGGUGUGGUGAGUGUGAAGGAAACAUUUUGUUGAAGCUCACACCUUUCUCAGAGUGAGAUCAUUCACAUGAGUGUAACAGAUACAAGAAAAGCUUUGGUGUGUUGUGGACAGAAGGCAGAACUCUGGGGACUACCAAUGUUAGCUGCUUCUUUGAACAAACUGUCCCAGUAAGUUCUUGGCCAUGGAUGGCUGUGCUCUGUGGCUAUAUGUUGUGGACUUGGAACAAAGACAGUCUUGGGGGAAGCCAGUGAUCUAGGAUGUAGCCUAAUACCAAAAUAUAGUCUCAGCAAGAAGCAGAUAGGGAAAUGAGGUGAUGCACAUAAAAAGCAAGGCUGCCACUUAGUGUCUGUCCCUAGGGUGGCUGCUUUAUCUUGGGCAAAAAGUUGGGGGGAUGGAAGCUCACAGUGAUGCCAGACUAUUCAGUCACACAUUUACAGACAGCCUCUUACUCUGUCUCCACAGGUGAUCAACCUCAUCUGUGGUUUAUCCCCCCAAAACACACUGGAGUUUAAUCCCCAUUGUGAGGUAUAAAGGUGGUGGAAAUCUAAUCUGAACAUGUUUAGAGGUGGGGCUUUUGGGGGUUAUUAGGGUCAUCAGGGUGGAGUUCUAUGAUUGAACUCUGGUGGCUUCAUAAGAAGAGGGAUGGAGACCAAAAGACACACACACACACACACUCCGCUAUCUGUGGCCUGUGAUACCCUGUGCUCCCUCUGGACUCUGCCAACAAAAAAGGUCAUCACUGAAUGUAGCUCCUUGACCUUGUAUCUUUGGAAUAUGAACCAAACAAACCUCUUUGUUCCAUAAAAACCACUCAGUUUGUGGUAUUGUUAACAACAGAAAAUGGACUAGGACACCAUCCAUUGUGAGAAUAGGUAUUGGGGUGGACAGGCAUUUAUCAUGUGUCACAGGC
Fukomys damarensis (Damara mole-rat) is the source of this 2738-nucleotide long non-coding RNA. RefSeq lists it as uncharacterized. The record is from RefSeq and is a predicted model, not a curated record. The transcript is spliced from 4 exons. Lineage: Eukaryota; Metazoa; Chordata; Mammalia; Rodentia; Bathyergidae.